This 277-nucleotide ribosomal RNA is filed under the name uncultured bacterium. RNAcentral's name for it is "partial 16S ribosomal RNA". It matches the Rfam family "Bacterial small subunit ribosomal RNA", at positions 28 to 315 of the family's 1533-position model. The record is from RNAcentral.
GACGAACGCUGGCGGCGUGCCUAAAACAUGCAAGUCGAACGAGAUAGCAAUAUCUAGUGGCGAACGGCGGAGUAAUACAUAAGCAACGUGCCCCGAAGACUGGGAUAGCGGACCGAAAGGUCCAGUAAUACUGGAUGUGGCCCACUUAGGACAUCUUAGGUGGAUUAAAUGGUUUUUCGCUUCGGGAGCGGCUUAUGACCUAUCAGCUUGUUGGCGAGGUAACGGCUCACCAAGGCUACGACGGGUAGGGGGUCUGAGAGGAUGAUCCCCCCGACGU